AUUAAGUUUAAUUUAAUAUAGGAUCUGCUCAAUGAUUUAUUAAAUAGCUGCAGUAUUUUGACUGUGCAAAGGUAGCAUAAUAAUUAGUCUUUUAAUUGAGGACUUGUAUGAAAGAUUUGAUGAGAAAUAAACUUUAUUAUUUAUAUAAUUAAAAUUUUAUUUUUAAGUAAAAAAGCUUAAAUUAUUUAAAGGGACGAUAAGACCCUAUAAAACUUUAUAAAUAUUAAUUUUAAUUUUUUUGGAUUUAUAAAUAUUUUGAUUUUAAUAUUUAUUUUAUUGGGGUGAUAAAAAAAAUUAUUUAACUUUUUUUAAAAUUUUACAUAAUUUAAUGAAUAUUUGAAUUAAAAUUUUUAAUUAUAGGAAAAAGUUACUUUAGGGAUAACAGCGUAAUUAAUUUUUUAAGUUCAAAUUUAAAAAUUAGUUUGCGACCUCGAUGUUGAAUUAAGAUUAAUCUUAGGUGCAAAAUUUUAAGUAUUAGGUCUGUUCGACCUUUAAAUUCUUACGUGA
This 507-nucleotide ribosomal RNA is filed under the name Uroleucon gobonis. Its description in RNAcentral is "partial 16S ribosomal RNA". Lineage: Eukaryota; Metazoa; Arthropoda; Insecta; Hemiptera; Aphididae. The record is from RNAcentral.